This is a long non-coding RNA of Daphnia pulex (common water flea), 838 nucleotides long. RefSeq lists it as uncharacterized. NCBI's taxonomy places the organism in Eukaryota, Metazoa, Arthropoda, Branchiopoda, Diplostraca, Daphniidae. The transcript is spliced from 3 exons. The record is from RefSeq and is a predicted model, not a curated record.
CAUAAUUUUAACCACCUAGUGAAAGCCAACACACUUAAUAAAUCUUCCACAACUUCCUUUAUUAUGUUCACUUAAUCUAGCUUGAAAGAUUUAAAAAAAGAAUGGAAUAACUGAAUAAGACUCACUUGAAAGUUGUAUGACAAUUUCCCAGAAGUAUAGUAGGCGCGAGUAGGCGAGGGCUCUUCAAGUCUUCAACUGCAUAAAGUUCACAUCAAAUGGUUAGAUCCAGGGAACAAGAAGAAUGAAACGAAGCUUAGUUGACACCCUUCAGUUGCAUCUAGUGUCGAAAGUAAAGAAGAUAAAAGCGAUUCGAAUACGAGACGGCGUAGCAGACACGGCCUUUACCACUAAGCUACUCUACAUGAAAUUACGAAAUCAAAACAUUCCUAACCAUUUUCAGCCAAGUACCCUUUAACGGAUGUAAUCGACAUCCGGAAAUAGUCAAUAACGGAUUGGCGACCAGAGUGUAAUGGUUUAUGGCAUCUAGUGUUGUAUCAAAAGGCCCCGGAUUCGAUUCCUACUCCCUCCACACUGUGUCCUAUUGUUUCCCAUGUCUGUCUGUAUAACCUAACCCUACAUGUACAAAUUUAACACACAACUACUAACUAAAUAUAAUUCUUACUCACACAUUUACUAACACUAAUGCACUGCGGCAUUUAAAAGAAACAAACCUUGAGAUAAACAAUUCAGAGAUCGAUUGCCAUCGUAAUUUGUGCGACAAUCUUGUACGCCGCUGUACUCGAACAUUGAUUACUGCUGUAAUAGGCUGGCAUGAGAUGGCAAACCUGAAUGCAAACCUUUUUGUUUCUCUUUCAAAAAGGAAUGUUAAAAUAAUUCC